AGUGAACGCUGGCGGUAGGCCUAACACAAGCAAGUCGAGCGGCAGCACAGUAAGAGCUUGCUCUUACGGGUGGCGAGUGGCGGACGGGUGAGGAAUACAUCGGAAUCUACUUUUUCGUGGGGGAUAACGUAGGGAAACUUACGCUAAUACCGCAUACGACCUACGGGUGAAAGCAGGGGAUCUUCGGACCUUGCGCGAUUGAAUGAGCCGAUGUCGGAUUAGCUAGUUGGCGGGGUAAAGGCCCACCAAGGCGACGAUCCGUAGCUGGUCUGAGAGGAUGAUCAGCCACACUGGAACUGAGACACGGUCCAGACUCCUACGGGAGGCAGCAGUGGGGAAUAUUGGACAAUGGGCGCAAGCCUGAUCCAGCCAUACCGCGUGGGUGAAGAAGGCCUUCGGGUUGUAAAGCCCUUUUGUUGGGAAAGAAAAGCAGCAGGUUAAUACCCCGCUGUUCUGACGGUACCCAAAGAAUAAGCACCGGCUAACUUCGUG
This 492-nucleotide ribosomal RNA is filed under the name uncultured bacterium. Its description in RNAcentral is "partial 16S ribosomal RNA". It matches the Rfam family "Bacterial small subunit ribosomal RNA", at positions 29 to 507 of the family's 1533-position model. The record is from RNAcentral.